Molecule: non-coding RNA, 403 nt
Organism: Myodes glareolus (Bank vole)
Lineage: Eukaryota; Metazoa; Chordata; Mammalia; Rodentia; Cricetidae
Source: RefSeq, a predicted model, not a curated record
CUGUCAUUCAAAAGCUGUGUUUGAAGGAAGAACUUAAAUGAAACUCGGCAUUCUCUCUUCUCCCCGAAGGAGUGAAGUACUAGGGAGAAGGCAAAGUGCCUUAGGGGGCAACAUCUAGAUGAUACUCUGCAAGCAUGCGCGGGGUGGGGGUUGUUCGAAACUCCCUGGAGGAAGUGGAGCAGCUGUCCACAGGAAUGUCGGAGAUUGCCGAAACCGCUACUGCCUCUGAAGGUUUAUGUUUCCGGAUCGUACGUCACCUUCACUAUGACCUGAAGCGGGUUUCCUGGUGUCUCUGAGCCUUGGCUUACUUCUGGUACCAGGAUAAGAGCAGCUAGCCUCCAGGAUUGUUGUAAAAUUAAAUAUCAGCUCAUUAAAUAAAUAAUAAAAAAAAGUAAGCAAAAUG